Molecule: ribosomal RNA, 253 nt
Filed under: uncultured bacterium
Lineage: Bacteria
Description: partial 16S ribosomal RNA
Rfam family: Bacterial small subunit ribosomal RNA
Source: RNAcentral
UACAGAGGUCUCAAGCGUUGUUCGGAUUCAUUGGGCGUAAAGGGUGCGUAGGCGGCGCGGUAAGUCGGGUGUGAAAUCUCGGAGCUUAACUCCGAAACUGCAUUCGAUACUGCCGUGCUUGAGGACUGGAGAGGAGACUGGAAUUUACGGUGUAGCGGUGAAAUGCGUAGAUAACGUAAGGAAGACCAGUGGCGAAGGCGGGUCUCUGGACAGUUCCUGACGCUGAGGCACGAAGGUCAGGGGAGCAAACGGG